AUUGAACGCUGGCGGCAUGCUUUACACAUGCAAGUCGAACGGUAACAGGCCUUCGGGUGCUGACGAGUGGCGAACGGGUGAGUAAUGCAUCGGAACGUGCCCAAUCGUGGGGGAUAACGUAGCGAAAGUUACGCUAAUACCGCAUAAGCCCUGAGGGGGAAAGUGGGGGACCGCAAGGCCUCACGCGAAUGGAGCGGCCGAUGUCAGAUUAGCUAGUUGGUGGGGUAAAGGCUCACCAAGGCGACGAUCUGUAGCGGGUCUGAGAGGAUGAUCCGCCACACUGGGACUGAGACACGGCCCAGACUCCUACGGGAGGCAGCAGUGGGGAAUUUUGGACAAUGGGCGCAAGCCUGAUCCAGCCAUGCCGCGUGCGGGACGAAGGCCUCGGUUGU
Molecule: ribosomal RNA, 392 nt
Filed under: uncultured bacterium
Lineage: Bacteria
Description: bacterial SSU rRNA
Rfam family: Bacterial small subunit ribosomal RNA
Source: RNAcentral